Molecule: ribosomal RNA, 253 nt
Filed under: uncultured bacterium
Lineage: Bacteria
Description: partial 16S ribosomal RNA
Rfam family: Bacterial small subunit ribosomal RNA
Source: RNAcentral
UACGAAGGACCCGAGCGUUAUCCGGAUUUAUUGGGUUUAAAGGGUGCGUAGGCGGAUUUACAAGUCAGUGGUGAAAUCUCCCGGCUUAACCGGGAAACUGCCAUUGAAACUGUUUAUCUUGAGUACAUUUGAGGCGGGCGGAAUGUGUCAUGUAGAGGUGAAAUUCUUAGAUAUGACACAGAACACCGAUUGCGAAGGCAGCUUACUAAGCUGUAACUGACGCUGAGGCACGAAAGUGUGGGGAUCAAACAGG